This 555-nucleotide long non-coding RNA is filed under the name Homo sapiens (human). Its description in RNAcentral is "non-protein coding lnc-ARFIP2-3:1". The record is from RNAcentral. Lineage: Eukaryota; Metazoa; Chordata; Mammalia; Primates; Hominidae.
GCGGGCAGGGCCGGGCGGACGGGCGCUGGCAGCAGUAGCAGCGCCGCGGGCCCUUCAGAGUGGCCGCAGUCCGAGCUUUGCCCUCGCAUCCUGUUCCAACGCGAUGUCUCCAAAACUAUAUCCCUGCCCAGAGCCUGACGCUAUCCUGUCCAGUAUGCCGGCAGACGUCCAUCCUCCCAGAGCAGGGCGUCUCGGCACUGCAGAACAACUUCUUCAUCAGCAGCCUCAUGGAGGCAAUGCAGCAGGCACCUGAUGGGGCCCACGACCCGGAGGACCCCCACCCCCUCAGUGUAGUGGCUGGCCGCCCUCUCUCCUGCCCCAACCAUGAAGACGAUGGAGUUUUACUGUGAGGCCUGUGAGACGGCCAUGUGUGGUGAGUGCCGCGCCGGGGAGCAUCGUGAGCAUGGCACAGUGCUGCUGAGGGAUGUGGUGGAGCAGCACAAGGCGGCCCUGCAGCGCCAGCUCGAGGCUGUGCGUGGCCGAUUGCCACAGCUGUCCGCAGCAAUUGCCUUAGUCGGGGGCAUCAGCCAGCAGCUGCAGGAGCGCAAGGCAGAG